This 468-nucleotide ribosomal RNA is filed under the name uncultured bacterium. RNAcentral describes it as "partial 16S ribosomal RNA". It matches the Rfam family "Bacterial small subunit ribosomal RNA", at positions 28 to 507 of the family's 1533-position model. The record is from RNAcentral.
GACGAACGCUGGCGGCGUGCUUAACACAUGCAAGUCGAACGGAAAGGCCCUGCUUUUGUGGGGUGCUCGAGUGGCGAACGGGUGAGUAACACGUGAGUAACCUGCCCUUGACUUUGGGAUAACUUCAGGAAACUGGGGCUAAUACCGGAUAGGAGCUCCUGCUGCAUGGUGGGGGUUGGAAAGUUUCGGCUGUUGGGGAUGGACUCGCGGCUUAUCAGCUUGUUGGUGAGGUAGUGGCUUACCAAGGCUUUGACGGGUAGCCGGCCUGAGAGGGUGACCGGCCACAUUGGGACUGAGAUACGGCCCAGACUCCUACGGGAGGCAGCAGUGGGGAAUAUUGCACAAUGGGCGGAAGCCUGAUGCAGCAACGCCGCGUGCGGGAUGACGGCCUUCGGGUUGUAAACCGCUUUCGCCUGUGACGAAGCGUGAGUGACGGUAAUGGGUAAAGAAGCACCGGCUAACUACGUG